This 659-nucleotide ribosomal RNA is filed under the name Escherichia coli. Its description in RNAcentral is "partial 23S ribosomal RNA". It matches the Rfam family "Bacterial large subunit ribosomal RNA", at positions 2284 to 2925 of the family's 2925-position model. Lineage: Bacteria; Pseudomonadati; Pseudomonadota; Gammaproteobacteria; Enterobacterales; Enterobacteriaceae. The record is from RNAcentral.
CUCCUCCUAAAGAGUAACGGAGGAGCACGAAGGUUGGCUAAUCCUGGUCGGACAUCAGGAGGUUAGUGCAAUGGCAUAAGCCAGCUUGACUGCGAGCGUGACGGCGCGAGCAGGUGCGAAAGCAGGUCAUAGUGAUCCGGUGGUUCUGAAUGGAAGGGCCAUCGCUCAACGGAUAAAAGGUACUCCGGGGAUAACAGGCUGAUACCGCCCAAGAGUUCAUAUCGACGGCGGUGUUUGGCACCUCGAUGUCGGCUCAUCACAUCCUGGGGCUGAAGUAGGUCCCAAGGGUAUGGCUGUUCGCCAUUUAAAGUGGUACGCGAGCUGGGUUUAGAACGUCGUGAGACAGUUCGGUCCCUAUCUGCCGUGGGCGCUGGAGAACUGAGGGGGGCUGCUCCUAGUACGAGAGGACCGGAGUGGACGCAUCACUGGUGUUCGGGUUGUCAUGCCAAUGGCACUGCCCGGUAGCUAAAUGCGGAAGAGAUAAGUGCUGAAAGCAUCUAAGCACGAAACUUGCCCCGAGAUGAGUUCUCCCUGACUCCUUGAGAGUCCUGAAGGAACGUUGAAGACGACGACGUUGAUAGGCCGGGUGUGUAAGCGCAGCGAUGCGUUGAGCUAACCGGUACUAAUGAACCGUGAGGCUUAACCUUACAACGCCGAAG